RNAcentral lists this ribosomal RNA (497 nucleotides) under uncultured bacterium. RNAcentral's name for it is "partial 16S ribosomal RNA". It matches the Rfam family "Bacterial small subunit ribosomal RNA", at positions 28 to 507 of the family's 1533-position model. The record is from RNAcentral.
GAUGAACGCUGGCGGCGUGCCUAAUACAUGCAAGUCGAGCGAACAGACGAGGAGCUUGCUCCUCUGACGUUAGCGGCGGACGGGUGAGUAACACGUGGAUAACCUACCUAUAAGACUGGGAUAACUUCGGGAAACCGGAGCUAAUACCGGAUAAUAUAUUGAACCGCAUGGUUCAAUAGUGAAAGACGGUUUUGCUGUCACUUAUAGAUGGAUCCGCGCCGCAUUAGCUAGUUGGUAAGGUAACGGCUUACCAAGGCAACGAUGCGUAGCCGACCUGAGAGGGUGAUCGGCCACACUGGAACUGAGACACGGUCCAGACUCCUACGGGAGGCAGCAGUGGGGAAUAUUGGACAAUGGGCGCAAGCCUGAUCCAGCCAUACCGCGUGGGUGAAGAAGGCCUUCGGGUUGUAAAGCCCUUUUGUUGGGAAAGAAAAGCAGCAGGUUAAUACCCCGCUGUUCUGACGGUACCCAAAGAAUAAGCACCGGCUAACUUCGUG